GGUCUUGUACCCAAUCCAACCCGAAUAAUUCAAUCUGAAUAAAAAUUAAUUAGGCAGGUUUCAUGUACCCAAUGAAUGUAAUAUUUUUUUUAUGAGAUGCAUCCGGGAUUUUGCAUAAAUUUUUAAUUGAAUUAGGAAUGAUUCAGCUGAUAGAAUUUUAAAUAGGUUGAGAUACAAAUAGAACAAAUUUUGUGAGCAUUCUAUCUAUUGCCAUUCCUAUCAAUAUAGGUAUGUGUUUAGUCUACAUCGGUUAUAUAUUGGGUUGAUAAGGAUCCAAAUAAUUCUUUUCAACUAGCAUUUUAGGACAAGAUUUUAAGUUGUUACAAGUAGCAU
RNAcentral lists this long non-coding RNA (333 nucleotides) under Elaeis guineensis (African oil palm). RNAcentral's name for it is "long non-coding RNA (EGUI_LNC027265)". The record is from RNAcentral. Lineage: Eukaryota; Viridiplantae; Streptophyta; Magnoliopsida; Arecales; Arecaceae.